GAUGAACGCUGGCGGCGUGCCUAAUACAUGCAAGUCGAGCGAACAGACGAGGAGCUUGCUCCUCUGACGUUAGCGGCGGACGGGUGAGUAACACGUGGGUAACCUACCUAUAAGACUGGGAUAACUUCGGGAAACCGGAGCUAAUACCGGAUAAUAUAUUGAACCGCAUGGUUCAAUAGUGAAAGACGGUUUUGCUGUCACUUAUAGAUGGAUCCGCGCCGCAUUAGCUAGUUGGUAAGGUAACGGCUUACCAAGGCAACGAUGCGUAGCCGACCUGAGAGGGUGAUCGGCCACACUGGAACUGAGACACGGUCCAGACUCCUACGGGAGGCAGCAGUAGGGAAUCUUCCGCAAUGGGCGAAAGCCUGACGGAGCAACGCCGCGUGAGUGAUGAAGGUCUUCGGAUCGUAAAACUCUGUUAUUAGGGAAGAACAAACGUGUAAGUAACUAUGCACGUCUUGACGGUACCUAAUCAGAAAGCCACGGCUAACUACGUG
Molecule: ribosomal RNA, 497 nt
Filed under: uncultured bacterium
Lineage: Bacteria
Description: partial 16S ribosomal RNA
Rfam family: Bacterial small subunit ribosomal RNA
Source: RNAcentral